This 370-nucleotide unclassified non-coding RNA is filed under the name uncultured fungus. RNAcentral's name for it is "sequence contains ITS1". The stretch from base 1 to 108 matches the Rfam family "5.8S ribosomal RNA", at positions 50 to 154 of the family's 154-position model. Lineage: Eukaryota; Fungi. The record is from RNAcentral.
GAAAUGCGAUACUUGGUGUGAAUUACAGAAUCUCGUGAACCAUCGAGUCUUUGAAUGCAAGUCACACCCGGAAGCCAUUAGGUUGAUGGCAUGUCUACCUGGGUGUCUCACGUUGUGUCGCCCGUACCCCUUCCUCCUGAAGAGAAGGGUUACAGGCGGAUAUUGCCCUUCGCUUGCGCCCACAUGCGAUUGGCCUAAAAAUAAGUCCCCUGCGACAGACGACACGUCACGACAAGUGGUGGUAAAAAACCGUUACGUCACCUCGAGCGUGUCCGAGUCAUCGCAGGAGGUCUAUUGUGACCCUAUCGUGCCACUGCCAAGGUGCUCUGAUCGUAACCCCAGGUCAGGCAGGAUUACCCGCUAAGUUUAA